RNAcentral lists this ribosomal RNA (497 nucleotides) under Yamadazyma diddensiae. Its description in RNAcentral is "eukaryotic LSU rRNA". It matches the Rfam family "Eukaryotic large subunit ribosomal RNA", at positions 98 to 651 of the family's 3401-position model. The record is from RNAcentral. Lineage: Eukaryota; Fungi; Ascomycota; Pichiomycetes; Serinales; Debaryomycetaceae.
GCGGCAAUAGCUCAAAUUUGAAAUCUGGCGUCUUCGGCGUCCGAGUUGUAAUUUGAAGAAGGUAUCUUUGAGGCUGGCUCUUGUCUAUGUUCCUUGGAACAGGACGUCACAGAGGGUGAGAAUCCCGUGCGAUGAGAUGCCCAGUUUCGUGUAAAGUUCCUUCGACGAGUCGAGUUGUUUGGGAAUGCAGCUCUAAGUGGGUGGUAAAUUCCAUCUAAAGCUAAAUAUUGGCGAGAGACCGAUAGCGAACAAGUACUGUGAAGGAAAGAUGAAAAGAACUUUGAAAAGAGAGUGAAAAAGUACGUGAAAUUGUUGAAAGGGAAGGGCUUGAGGUCAGACUUGGUUUACCAGGCCAGCAUCAGUUUGGAUGGCAGGAUAAUAGCUAAGGAAUGUGACACCAUCUCGGUGGUGUGUUAUAGCCUUGGUUGAUACUGCCUGUCUAGACUGAGGACUGCGUCUUUGACUAGGAUGCUGGCAUAAUGACCUUAAGCCGCCCG